Molecule: ribosomal RNA, 468 nt
Filed under: uncultured bacterium
Lineage: Bacteria
Description: partial 16S ribosomal RNA
Rfam family: Bacterial small subunit ribosomal RNA
Source: RNAcentral
GACGAACGCUGGCGGCGUGCUUAACACAUGCAAGUCGAACGGAAAGGCCCUGCUUUUGUGGGGUUCUCGAGUGGCGAACGGGUGAGUAACACGUGAGUAACCUGCCCUUGACUUUGGGAUAACUUCAGGAGACUGGGGCUAUUAUCGGAUAGGAGCUCCUGCUGCAUGGUGGGGGUUGGAAAGUUUCGGCGGUUGGGGAUGGUCUCGCGGCUUAUCAGCUUGUUGGUGGGGUAGUGGCUGACCAAGGCUGUGACGGGUAGCCGGCCUGAGAGGGGUGCCAGGCACAAUGCGACUGAGAUACGCCCCAGAAGCCUACGGGACGCAGAAGUGGGGAGUAUUACGGAAUGGGCCGAAGCCAGAGACAGCAGCGCCGCGUGCGGGAUACCGGCCUUCGAGGUGUAAACCACUGUCGCCUGUGACGAAGCGUGAGUGACGGUAAUGGGUAAAGAAGCACCGGCUAACUACGUG